CGGAGCGUAGCGCAGUCCGGUAGCGCACUCGCCUGGGGGGCGAGGGGUCGUAGGUUCAAAUCCUAUCGCUCCGACCA
Molecule: transfer RNA, 77 nt
Filed under: Robiginitomaculum sp.
Lineage: Bacteria; Pseudomonadati; Pseudomonadota; Alphaproteobacteria; Maricaulales; Robiginitomaculaceae
Also listed under: 1 other name
Description: tRNA-Pro
Rfam family: tRNA
About the family: Transfer RNA (tRNA) molecules are approximately 80 nucleotides in length. Their secondary structure includes four short double-helical elements and three loops (D, anti-codon, and T loops).
Source: RNAcentral